Molecule: long non-coding RNA, 1737 nt
Organism: Anopheles stephensi (Asian malaria mosquito)
Lineage: Eukaryota; Metazoa; Arthropoda; Insecta; Diptera; Culicidae
Exons: 3
Source: RefSeq, a predicted model, not a curated record
ACGACGAGCCCUGCAAACGACUUCGGGCACUCAAAUCGUCUCGUUCGGGAUGGGCACUCACUAGCAUUGCAUUACAACGCCACCAGUUGUUUAUUUGCAGAUUGUGAGCAAUCAGUUCUUUCUUUCAAAAAGCAAAAGAUUUCUUUUUUUUCCUUUACUGUUGUUGCUCACCGUUUAAAACUAUUUCUUCAAAAUCAUAAUUUUAUCUGCCGAGAUCUCACUCAUACUGCAGAUGAUGCGAGUUACUUUUACCCCCUAAAUGGAGCACUCUUUCUCACUCACUCUUGAUCUCUCUCUCUCUCCCUCUCUCCCUUUUUCUGCAUUUUCUUCCUUGCAACCCCCCUUUACCACGACGAAUCGCGACGAGAAAUUAUGCCAGGUCAGUGAUGGAAGAUGGCAGCGUGUGUGUGUGUGUGGAAGCGGGAGAGAGACAGCCGUAAGAGCAGGAUGCGACGAAGAAUGGCGUCUGCCAGUGUAAACGGCGCGCGUUACCUUUUUGUUGUUAUUUUCUUGUGCGGUCCACCAAAAGGGACACGUAAUAGUGUGUGUGUGUGUGUGUGCAGAGGGAAAAAGGGGUGUCAGGGGACGAUCUCGGCCAGCCAGACGGACGGAUGGAUUCUCUUUGUUUUGAAGACCGCACUCCCCGGGGCCCUCACGGACCAUGUUCCUUCUGCCCGCGUGCGUGCGAUACCGGAACGAAGGUUUCGCUUUCUUUAUCGUUGGCUGCCGUCGUCGUGGUCGUAGUCGGAACCAAGAACUCGUCGGAGUGAAGUUUUCUUACCCUGACACGGACAACAAAGAACUGACUGCAUCGCGCGCGUUGGGUUAGUAUCGGGUGGAAGGUGUUGCGGUGGAGGUGGCGGGAAGAUGGCGCAGAAGUGAUAAUUUAAGGACAAGUCUCAACGCGACUACAAACAUUCGAGUCGAGUCCUUCCCGGAUUGUCACUUGGCAUCGAGCGUGUAAGUGCACGGUGUGUGUCCACGGUCGAAACGCUUUAUCAGUGCCUAUGUCUAGCCUUUCUCAGGUUUUGCAUCGCUUUUUCCUUUCUAGCUGCAAUAAAACGACGAACUCUCGGCCAACGCUUCGCGACUAACUGAACGGAAUAAUAAUUCCGUUUGUCACUUUACUCAACCGGCCACCGGCUCUUCAUCAUGCAUGACGGCAGACUUCCGGCAGGACGUAAAAAUGCACGAUCACGAGCGGUUAAAGUUCUGCCGCGCGCGGACAAAAUUAGCAAUCGAACAAAGAGAGUGCAUUCGAGAAGUAAGUCCCUUCAGCUAGGUUUCAAAUGUGUUUGUUAUAUAUUACUAUAUGAGUUUGACACGAUGACGCGUUAUUAAAUCGCGAGCAAGCGAACGACGAUCGGAGUGUGCAUCGAAGGACACUCUCGCAUCGAUGAGUUAACAGAAUAGCAGCUGCAGCCGUGGAAUACGAUGUGAAAUAGAUAGACCACCAACCACGAUGAUGAUGAUGAUGAUGAUGCUUUCCAGAUGUAACCCCGUCCGCUAUAUUGGCCUCAGAGAUCAAUGCAGGUGAUGAGGUCAUGUAUAGGUGUUCUAUUUUCCCCUGAUGCAGCAACGGCGCAAAGGCUUAUUUAUGCAAGGAGAGACCUAUUUACGGAAAUGGACUAUCAUCUUGUGGGUAAUUUAAUGCUUGCAAACCAUACAAUUAUUGCAGGUGUACCCUCAUGGAGACGCCAGGUACUAUUAUUGAUACUAAAUAAAGGAUUUCUAACU